GAUGAACGCUGGCGGCGUGCCUAAUACAUGCAAGUCGAGCGAACAGAUGAGAAGCUUGCUUCUCUGAUGUUAGCGGCGGACGGGUGAGUAACACGUGGGUAACCUACCUAUAAGACUGGGAUAACUCCGGGAAACCGGGGCUAAUACCGGAUAAUAUUUUGAACCGCAUGGUUCGAUAGUGAAAGACGGUUUCGGCUGUCACUUAUAGAUGGACCAGCGCCGUAUUAGCUAGUUGGUAAGGUAACGGCUGACCAAGGCGACGAUACGUAGCCGACCUGAGAGGGUGAUCGGCGACACUGGAACUGAGACACGGUCCAGACUCCUACGGGAGGCAGCAGUAGGGAAUCUUCCGCAAUGGGCGAAAGCCUGACGGAGCAACGCCGCGUGAGUGAUGAAGGUCUUCGGAUCGUAAAACUCUGUUGUUAGGGAAGAACAAAUUUGUUAGUAACUGAACAAGUCUUGACGGUACCUAACCAGAAAGCCACGGCUAACUACGUGCCAGCAGCCGCCGUAA
Molecule: ribosomal RNA, 514 nt
Filed under: uncultured bacterium
Lineage: Bacteria
Description: partial 16S ribosomal RNA
Rfam family: Bacterial small subunit ribosomal RNA
Source: RNAcentral